RNAcentral lists this ribosomal RNA (1056 nucleotides) under Triticum aestivum (bread wheat). RNAcentral describes it as "partial small subunit ribosomal RNA". Lineage: Eukaryota; Viridiplantae; Streptophyta; Magnoliopsida; Poales; Poaceae. The record is from RNAcentral.
AUGGAAGAGGAAGGCUAUAGUACCGAAUCAUCCAAUGAAGGAGACACACAAGAAGAUGGUGACAAGGAGAAAAACCUUGCUGAGGGCGAUGUCUUUAAGCCGGUUCAUAUGGAUCCAGAAUGGAUACCUAAAGUAGGGAUGGUAUUUGAUUCAGAGGAAGACACCUUUCAGUUCUAUGUCACAUAUGGACGUCGCUCUGGUUUUGGUAUCACAAGGAGAUCUAACAACACCUUUGAUGGUUUCCGCUAUCGCUCUACCUUCAUAUGCUCUAAAGGAGGGCAAUCUAGGAUGAGAUCUGGUGUGACAAGGCAUGCAAGAAAGCGAGGCACAAAGACUGGCUGCAAGGCUAAGAUCAUUGUCAAGGACGCCCAUUUUCAGAAUCGCUGGGAAGUUAUUGUUCUCGAGUUGGAGCAUAACCAUCCACUGGAGCCCAGUUUGAUUAAAUAUAAGAAGCAUUUAGAGAACAUCCCUUUCUCUCUAAAUCCACCUCGUUUGUCUGAGGCGCCACAAAGUAGCUCACUUGUUGGAUAUUCUAGUAGUUUUGGAGAUAGUGGCAUACCUUCAUCUGCCCAGAUUGAAAUCAAGACCAAGAUAGACAGAAAUAGGAAACUGAAGAUUGCUGAAGGAGAUUUAGAGGCAUUAGUGAGUUUUUUCAAUGACAUGCAAGACCGAAACCCGUGUUUCUUUCAUAGUUUAGACGUGAAUGAGCAAGGACAGCUAAGGAAUGUCUUCUGGGCUGAUGCCAAAUCACGUAGUUCUUACAAUUACUUUGGUGAUGUGGUUGCUAUUAAUGUCACAAACUUCAGUGAUCAGUAUGAUAUACAGUUUAUGUCAUUUGUGGGCACCAACCACCAUGCUCAACCACUGUUACUAGGGUGUGGUUUGCUUGCUGGUAGAUCUCUUGGAGCUUACGUGUGGCUUUUUGAUACAUGGUUAAGAUGCAUGAAUGCCACAUCGCCACCUUCAAUAAUUACCCACUAUUGUCAUGAUGUUGCAAUAGCUGUUAAAAAGGUUUUCCCCAAUUCACGGCACCCCUUUUGCCUUUGGCACAUUUAA